This 417-nucleotide long non-coding RNA is filed under the name Homo sapiens (human). RNAcentral describes it as "non-protein coding lnc-CHAC2-11:1". The record is from RNAcentral. Lineage: Eukaryota; Metazoa; Chordata; Mammalia; Primates; Hominidae.
UUUCCAACAACCACCUUACUUAUUUGUAAUGUUUAGUUUCACGAAAGCACAUGCAUCAAGUAUACAGAGGAACUCAACUGGAGAGGAAGGCUAUGAAUGUAAGGAAUGUGGGAAAGCAUUGAGACGUUCUUGUUCUUUUAAAAUGCAUGAAAGGACUCACACUGGAGAAAGACCCUAUAAAUGUACCAAAUGUGAUAAAGCCUUCAGUUAUUCCACUUCCCAUUGUGGAAAAGCAUUCAGUUGUAUUAGUUCUUUUUCAAAGACAUAAAAAGCCACAGGGGAAAAAAAAAAAAAGAAAAAAAAAGCCCUACGCAUGUAAGAAAUGUGGUAAAGCACUUACUCUUUCCAUUUUCCUCAUAAACAUGAAAGAGCUCACACUGGAGAGAAACCUUAAAAAUGUGAGAAAUGUGGUAAAGC